Molecule: ribosomal RNA, 706 nt
Filed under: uncultured marine bacterium
Lineage: Bacteria
Description: bacterial SSU rRNA
Rfam family: Bacterial small subunit ribosomal RNA
Source: RNAcentral
ACCGGCGCACGGGUGAGUAUCGCGUAUACAAUCUGCCUCAUACUAGGGAAUAGCCCGAAGAAAUUUGGAUUAAUGCCCUAUAGUAUCUUUUUAAGGCAUCUUAUUAAGAUUAAAGGCUACGGUAUGAGAUGAGUAUGCGUUCUAUUAGCUAGUAGGUGUGGUAACGGCACACCUAGGCUACGAUAGAUAGGGGCCCUGAGAGGGGGAUCCCCCACACUGGUACUGAGACACGGACCAGACUCCUACGGGAGGCAGCAGUAAGGAAUAUUGGUCAAUGGACGAAAGUCUGAACCAGCCAUGCCGCGUGCAGGAUGACUGCCCUAUGGGUUGUAAACUGCUUUUAUAUAGGAAGAAAAACUUUCUCGUGAGAAAGCUUGACGGUACUAUAAGAAUAAGGAUCGGCUAACUCCGUGCCAGCAGCCGCGGUAAUACGGAGGAUCCAAGCGUUAUCCGGAAUCAUUGGGUUUAAAGGGUCCGUAGGUGGACAAAUAAGUCAGAGGUGAAAUCCUGCAUCUCAACUGUAGAACUGCCUUUGAUACUAUUUGUCUUGAGUUAUUAUGAAGUGGUUAGAAUGUGUAGUGUAGCGGUGAAAUGCAUAGAUAUUACACAGAAUACCGAUUGCGAAGGCAGAUCACUAAUAAUCAACUGACACUGAUGGACGAAAGCGUGGGUAGCGAACAGGAUUAGAUACCCUGGUAGUCCACGC